RNAcentral lists this long non-coding RNA (31377 nucleotides) under Coffea arabica (coffee). RNAcentral's name for it is "long non-coding RNA (CARA_LNC004527)". The record is from RNAcentral. Lineage: Eukaryota; Viridiplantae; Streptophyta; Magnoliopsida; Gentianales; Rubiaceae.
GGGAUUAAAUAUUAAUAAACAACAGAGUUUUGCCCUAUCUAUUACAAAGCAAAGGAGAUAGUGCGGGGAAAACAGAUCCCUUUCAAGUCCUCAUCAUAGACAAAAGCGAGUUCUUGAGGACAAUUAGCAAAAGUUACAAAGUUGGAUUGUAAUCUGCCUCCCAUUCUUGCGAGUGCGUCCGCGCAUCUAUUUGCCUCCCGGUAAAUGUGGGAUAUUUUAACAUGCCGCAGCUGCGAAAGGAGGGAUCUGCAAUCCGAAAUGAUAGAGUUCAAAAGGUGAUUAGGAUUGGCAACAGCUGUUAACAAAGUAAUAAUAGCUUCGCAGUCAACUUCAACUUCAAGUUGAGAAAUUUUUAAGGAAAGGGCUAUUUCUAGUCCAUCUCGGAUACCCCAACAUUCCGCCAGCAUGCUGUUUGUAGAACCUAAGUUUCUGCAGUAUCCUUUAAUCCAACAUCCGGAGGCGUCUCUGAUAACACCUCCAGCUCCCGCUGGACCUGGGUUUCCUAAGGCUGAGCCGUCUGAAUUGAGCUUGAACCAAUGGAGGAUUGGAGGAAUCCAUCUGAUAAGAAUAUGGGAUUUUCUGCGAGGGGGGUGGCCAGAAUUUGGGCCAAGGGAGUAGAACUCAGUGGCCAACUUGAUGCUGGUUUUGGUUGGAGGAGGUUGUGUUCUGUUGGGCUCGAAAAUCUUUUUAUUCCUGGAUUUCCAAAUGGUGGAGCAAGUAAAGGCAAAGAGUGUGCCCCAAGGAAUAUUGUAGAAAGGGGAGGGUGUGGAAAGUUUACAACCUUCCCUAAUCCAGAUGUGAAAAGGAAUGUGUAGAGUGGAUAGAUAGUAGUUGGGAUUGAGCUCCAUCCAAACAGCUUGGGCGUGGACACAUUUGCGCAAGACAUGAUUAGUAUCCUCUAUCAGUCCUGGGCAGAAAGGGCAGAUAUUAUCAGGGAGGAUGUUUCUCUUAUGAAGGAGGUAUCUUGUUGCUAGUUUGUCUUGAGAAGCUAACCAGAGGAAUAAUUUGGUUCGAUGGGAUGUGUGAGUAGUCCAAAUCCAAGUGAAAGACUGGCUUGGAGGAUGGGGUGUUUGGACAUUGGGUUUGGCCUGAAUAUAUAGCAAACUAGUGAUCUCAUAUGCAGAUUUUAGACUGAACUCACCAUCAGGAGAAUUCCUCCAUAUAAGGUUGUCUGCUUGUUUAGAAUGGUGAGGUCUAGGAAUAGCUUUUAGCAGGUCGGUAAUGGAAGGGGGUAGAUGGAAGGAAAUAUUAUUGAAAUUCCAAUUACCAUUGCUGUCAAAAAGAUCUGAUAGGAGUAGUUGAUCUUCCUCUGGUAGGAGUGGUCCUUCAAUUAAGGAUCUGAGGGUGCUUGCUGAGAACCAUUUUCCAGACCACACUUUAAUUGUUUUACCAUCUCCUAUGUUCCAACCCAACCCUUGGUUGAAGAUGUUGUUACCGUGUAUGAUAUUCCUGAGAUUUAUGGAACCUCUAGAUUUGCAGAAGCUAAGAGGGGAUUCUUUCAAAGGUUGGUUUCUAUGUAAGUAGAGAUCUGAAAGAAUUUGAACCCAAGGACGAUGUGUGUUUUUCAUCAUCUGCCAAUUGAGUUUGGCCAAGUUAGCUUUGUUCAAAAGGGCUGAUUGUCUCAAUCCCAAACCACCCUCCUUUUUGGGGAGGGUAACAGUUUCCCACUUAAUCAAGUGGAGUUUUUUCUUCCCCUCUGUGGAGCCCCAGAGGAAAUUUUUCUGUUCUCUAUCGAUGGCAUCACAGAUUUUUUUUGGGAUAUGUGCUGCUUGGAAGAAAUAGGUAGGGAUGGAAGAUAUGCAUUGUUGGAUAAUUGUCUUUCUCCCAGCAAAGGACAACAGGUUUGCUUUCCAGCCUUGGAGUUUGGAUUGAAUUUUUUCCAAAAGGAAGUGGAAGGUUUUGGCUGAUGCUUUCUUCACACUAAGUGGAAAGCCAAGGUAUUUUCCUAGGUCUCGGGUACCCUGAAUGUUUAGAGUCCUGGUGAUAGAGUUUUUAGUGAAUUCAAGGGUGUUUGGGGAAAAUAGAAUCCUUGACUUGGAGUGGUUGAUACGGAGGCCAGAGAGGUCCCCAAAAAUGUUCAGAAUAUUUUGGAUAGUGGUUAUAGAGGUAUCAUCUGUCCUUGAGAAGAGGAUGAUGUCAUCUGCAAACAGACAAUGUGACAGACAAUGUCUAGAUCUCCCAAACUUGAGAGGGGUCCAGUUGUUACCAUCCACUUCUUUGGUGAUAGCCAUUGACAGGUACUCCAUGCAAAUAAUGAAGAUGUAUGGGGAUAAAGGGUCUCCUUGUCGAAUGCCUCUAGAAGGGGAAAAAAAGUUUGUUGGGGAUCCAUUUAUGAGUAUGGCCAAAUUGGUAGAUGUAAUGCAAUGAAGAAUGAGGUUGAUGAGGGAUGGGGGAAAAUCAAAGAAAGUGGGGGCUUGAUGAAUAAAAGACCAUUCAAGACUAUCAUACGCCUUAUGAAGAUCAAGCUUGAUGGCACACAACCCAUAUUUGCCCUUUUUAUUUUUAAGCCUGUGAAUGGCUUCUUGGACAAGCAUGAUGUUAUCUGUUCCACUUCUACCCGAGAUGAAGCUGGAUUGGAGAGGGGAGAUGAUGGUUGAAAGGAUUGGUCUAAGUUUAUUAACAAUGGUCUUGGCUAGUAUUUUAUAAGUGGUAUUGCAGAGUCCUAUGGGUCUAAACUGCUGAAUGAUAUCCGGGUUGUCAAGUUUGGGAAUCAAGCAAAUUAAAGUAUCGUUAAUCCCGACUGGAAGGGGCUUUUGAUUGUAAGCAUCAUGUAUGAAUUGGGUGAUUGAAGGAGCAAGGAAAUUCCAAAAUUUCUGGUAGAAAAUAGGGUGAUAGCCAUCCGGCCCAGGACAUUUGAGAGGUUUCAAAUCAAAAACAGCCUUUUUAAUUUCUAGGAUGGUUGGGAGGGUGACUAGGGAUAUUUUGGUUUCUUCCUCCAGAUAAGAUUUCUGAAAAGGGAAAUUCUGUGGGUAAAAGGAUGACUGAGAGUGGUGAGAAGUAAAUAGGGAAGAGAAGAAAUCAAGGAUAUGGUUUUUAACAACAUCACUAUUGGUCAGCCAUUUACCUUCAUUAUCUCUCAAGGAAACAAUUUUAUUCCGUUUCCUUCUACAGAGGGUAGAAGUUUGUAGAAAUUUGGUAUUGAGGUCAUCUGAUAUAGCAUAGUCCAAUCUAGAUUUCAUAAUCCAGAGGGAUUUUUCCUGAUGAAGGAUUUCCUCAUACUCAAAAAGCAACUGUUUUUCUAAAGACUCUAGGAAUAUAGAAUGGUGAGAUUGCAUCGCUUUUUGAGCACCUUGGAGUCUGGCUAGGAUCCUCUUUUUCUUAAAGAAAAUAUUCCCAAAGGUCUUUUUACUCCAGGAAAGGAUGUUAGAAGUGAGGUUUUCGAUAGAAUUGGAGAUAACAGAGGGGGGCCCAGACCAAGAUUGAUGAAGGAGUUGUGGGAAUUCUGGGUGAGACAUCCAAAAUUUCUCCAGUCUAAAAGGUCUGUUUAAGGAAUUACUAAUAGCCGGUUGGAGGUCGAGAAGAAUUGGACAAUGAUCUGAAUGAAUUCUUGCAAGGUGGUGUAUUUGUGCCUCAGGAAAAAGGUUAAUCCAUUCAGGGUUACAAAAGGCGCGAUCCAGCCGUUCGUAAAUAUGGCCUAGAUCCCUUCUAAAACACCGCCAGGUGUAACGAGGCCCAUUGAACCCUAAGUCUAACAUGUUGUGUGUGUGUGUGUAGAUGUAGACACACACACACCAGGCUUAAUAGGAUUCUGGCAGCAUCACAGAUUUCUCCACUAAAGAGGGAUCCCUCCACGAUCACGGUGGUCAUGGCGCCGCCGCCAAGGAAUCACUGGAAAAUCCGAUACAUCCAUGAAACCCCAUCCAUCCAUCCACGAUCCUCACAGUAGAUUUCACCCACCGGAGUAGCAAGCGAUGACAACGGCCAAACACCCAGUAGAGCCUCCAAUACCAGACCCUGCCAUUUCUCCCCAAACUGAUAUUCAUGUAAGUUCAACAACCACACCUGUAAACCAUAGUAUCUCCCAGACACAACUUCAACUUCCCUCACACUCUGUUUCGCCUGAAAUUCAUAAUUCCACUUCCAUCCUCCAUGCCCCAAAGUCCCCAAAACGCUCCUACAAGGACUGCCUCAUAUCUGAUAAAACCUCUUCAAUCAUUCAACUAGACCUCACCCAAACUGAACUAGCGUCCCCUAUAAACUUUUCUGAAACCCAUACCCAAACCGGGUCCCUUACCAUAGAUUUCCCCCCCAAACUCACAGAUAGACUCAGAGAACCUUGGAAAUUCACUCUGAUUGCUAAACCUCUGGGGAGAAGCACGGGUUUUAGAUACUUCGACCAAAAAAUUCGUCAUAUCUGGAAAUCUAGUGGCGAAAUAGCAAUCCUAGAUCUGGGUAGGGAUUUCUUCGCAGUUAGAUUUAAAAACCCGGAAGAUCAUCUUAGAAUCUUAACGGGCGGCCCGUGGUUUAUCAAUAAAUCUCUUAUUUCCAUUCGCAACUGGUGCCCAUUUUUUAAUGCUUUCGAUGCGAAAGCAUCCACAACAACUGUCUGGAUCAGACUACCAGGACUCCCCCUAGAAUUUUAUGAUCAAGAAGCACUCUCUCUCAUUGGAAAUAAAAUCGGGAAGCUCAUUAGAAUUGAUGCAAGGACGGCCAAUACAGAACGUGGAAGAUUCGCCAGGAUGUGCAUCGAGCUAGACAUUACUCGCCCUCUGCCUACCUCAAUCCAACUAGAUGGACACCAUCAGUUACUGAUCGUAGAAGCUCUGUCCUUCUGUCCUAGUUGUGGUAUGUUGGGUCACGACCAAGCUUACUGCCCUAAGCCCACCUCCGAUGAACAAACGGAAGCACAGCCGGGAGGAGGGACAUGGAGACGUGUUCAGGCGUUCGCCGGCAAAUCGUUUUCUAUGUCAGGAAAGCGACCUCUCCUUCGUAAACCCAACGGUCAGCAUUUUUCAAUUUCAAACGUUAAGUCCAGGCCUUCCCGACCCAUAAGGCCUCAUGGCCCAGGUGUUGGUCAACCCAAAACCCAAACCUCUAACCGGGUCCCUAUAUUCGGUACCACAGAUAUCCCUAUUAGAAAUAAUUUUGACUUGCUUUCUGAUGUUGACUCUGUGCUUUCCAACGGCGCCAAAAUUGCUGAGCCUCCCAGACCUGCCACCGAACAUCAGUCCCAAAAUUUCCUGCCUAGUGCUCCUUCUCCUACAUUGAAACUUCCUAGCAAACAGUUGGGAGAAAUUUUGCCUGCAAAUGGGAAGUGCACUUUCCAACCUCCUCCACCUCCUGCUUCCAAAAAUGACCUGUCGAAAGCCAGCUUCGAUUACCUCCCUUCGGAAGACAGGCUUAGCCCCCACGCCAUCAGCUACAUAUCCAAAACCGGAGAAGUUCUUUCAUCCACCUCAACCUCAGAAAAACCCUACGAUACUCUCACCAAAACCUCCCCAGCUCAGUAUGAACCACCAACAAGCCUCAGCAAUGUCCCGGAGGACGAGAACCAACCUGAGAAACUCUCACCCCUCUUACCAAACCCACCAAGUUUGGAACCACUACCCCCCACACAGAUUGGAAGAACACCCCCAAGCACCGCAUCUCAACCACAUGUUCAGGGAGGAGGAGUGGGUUCUGAUAUGCUCCCACAGAGUGGUAGACCCACUCCUAGUCGCGAACUCACAUCUCUCCUUGGAAGAGAUCCGCCAAAUCCAGGACCAACACAGUUUGGGAAGAAUACAGAUUUGGGCAACUCAAACCAGGAUAGCUUUUAUCACAGACCUGGACCCAGAAGACCAUCUAACAUCAAGGAACAGGGAGGUGAGGGGAAUCAGAGCAGGGAGACCUCCAUACGAACAACACCACCAAAGGCCAAACCGCCCACACAACCGGCCACAUCAGCCCCAGACUCAGCCACAAAGGGACUACCCGGAACCAAGGAGACACUCAAACCGCCACUAUCGAUGGAACCCAUCAUGGAGGAGGACUCAGAAUCGCCCAGCGACAGCUCAGGAGACUGCUCAGAGGAGAGAUGCCCAGGAACCCACGGGCUCAAACCUCGCUCCAGAAUACGAAACAAUGCCACAACUGUACGUCCGGCAAGAAGUACUCUCCAUAUCCCCACUUUCAGUCACUGCCAGAGACUCUCAAAGCUCUGUCACAAUUAUCACGCCGAUAAAAGAAAUGUUAGCCGUAAAAAUAUUCAUGACGGCCAUCGAACUGCUAGGCGUAGACUCCAGAGACCACUCCUUAACACUACGCCCAAGAUUCAGUCGAGAGUUUCACUUUCCCGUCAAUAUCUACGACGGAAAUCCCAGCUCCCAAGUGAGGCCUCAGAGCCCACCAGAGCCGAUGAUGCCCAACCCAUUUCCUGACUCUAUGAAGAUCCUUUUCUGGAAUGUCAGGGGUGCGGGACACCCGAAUUUCAAAAAUCACUUUCUUCAACUUGUCCAGCUCCAUAAUCCCGCAAUUGCUAUUCUAGUAGAAACUAAACUCCACGGAGACAGAGCACGCCAUAUUUGCAGUCAACUCCCGUUUGACAAUUUCUCAGUGGUCGACUCUUCCGGGUUCAAAGGUGGAAUGUGGCUACUGUGGAACAAGGCAGAAGUUCGCGUAGAUCCUAUCUCAAACCUUUCGCAGGUCAUCCACGCUUCAGUCCAGGUAACCCCCUAUUCACCCCCUUGGAUUCUUUGUGGAAUUUAUGCUAGCCCACAGUUUCAGGAAAGAAUCCAAUUAUGGAAUAGUUUGUGUUCCUCUAAUAACCCACUACAAGAAAUUUGGCCUUUUGUGACAAUACAAAGUCAUCACUAAAAAUCCAAAAGUCGUCAUUAUAUGAAUAUAGUGACGACUUUUCCCAUUGUCACAUCGUUGUCACUAAUUCUAUGUCACAAAUAGGUACCUGUGACAACCUAUAUAAAGUCGUCACUAAAUAUUAAUAUUUAAUGACGAAGAAUAAGUCGUCACUAAUGAAUAGUUUUCUGUGACGACAUUUCUUGUCACUGUUGCAAAAAUUUUUUUGUCAUAAAAGAUAGCAAAAGUCGUCACAAAUGUGGACCUGCACAGUGACGACUUGAACUUGUCACUCUCACUCCUAGUAUUCUGUGACAAGAAUGGUCGUCACUUACAAAUUUGUCUCCAACAGCUGCAAUUGUUCAUUCCAAAUAUAACAUUGCCAUGGCUCUCGUUCUGAUAGUUAUAGCCAAAAAAAUUAAAUUUGGCUAAGAGUGACAUCUUUUGGGGAGGUUGUCACUGAAUUUUUUCUAAAGGAGUUGAAAUUAACCGAUACAAAUAUAGUAUUGCCAUGCCAUUUUCAACAAAUAUAACAAAACAUUCAAUAUGACAAAAGGCAAAACCAACAUAGAAUAUAUGCCACAAAUUCAUAUAUUUGGCCAUAACACAUCUCCAAAUUAGUCAAAACAGAAGUGAACCACAAAUGUUGGGAAUAUAGUAAUCCCACAUAAUCAGUUGUAAGUUCUAAUGGCCAAUACAUAUCCUUCCCAAAAGAUAGAAUACUAGAUUUUGCCACUAAAGCAUAGACUACACAGCUGUGGUCAGAUUUUGAGCAUCUCUUGCAGCACGAGCAUCAGUCUUCUCACGAUCAAAAUAUGAAGUUAGACUGCAUUGAAAAUAAACUUUUCUUUAGAGUUUCAGCAUAUCCAACUACUGUGAACUUAAGUAAAAAAAAAUCAGUCAAGCUAUGUUAGUGCACUCAAUAAUAACCUGAAUAAUAAGAAUGCGCAUGUGCUUUGUUAGUGCACUCAAUACAAGCUAACACUCUGUUUUGCAGAAAAGAAUCCAAUACUAUCAACUAUUUCCAGGAACUCCAUUUAACUUGACCAAUUGUUUUUCCAAUAAAUCAUCCUCAAGUGCUUAAGGUCUCACUAAGAUACUAGUUUCAAUUCACCAAGCAUACAUCAAAACCCUUCCUUAUUCAAAGGCUUAUACUUCAAGAGGAAAACAGAGAUGCAAUAUAACAGCAUUGCCAAUUGCAGAUUUCAGCCUUAUGUACAGAAGGUCUUCUCUUUCUUCCAAUAGCUAACUUCAUCCAGCUUGCCUUGUGGCACUGGUUCAUAUUUCCAUUUGAAUUUCUAUUCAUGGCUUUGGUUUGUGUGGAUUCUAUACACUAGGUGCAACAAAAAUUACUAAAAUUUGCAAAGAUUUAUAUUGUGGAAAGAAUGACAACUCACUUUAUGAUCUACAUCUGUGUUAUGGCUCAACCAUGCAUAGGCCUCUUUGAAGUCAUAAAAAAUGCGAAGGCCAUCAUGAGAUUGACUUGUUAGCACUAUGAAGGGUAUUGAACAUGCUUCUGCUGCUGCCCAGACACAAUGAACCUACAUGAAAAAUCAUCUGUAAAUAGUGAAGAGCUCAACCAGGAAGCCAAAGAACAACAUGGAAAUCCAGCAUAAGGACCAAAAAGUACAACCAAACUUUUAAGUGUUGCUUUCAUCUCAAUCUUUUUGCGAACUUUUCAGAAAGCACUCACAGGUUAUAUUAUAGUAUUUGGAGUUAAAUUUGCAAAAAAUGUGUAAUUCAGAAUGGCACGACUAAAAGAAAGGUCUAAAUAUUACAUUGACAAGACCUUUUUAUUAUGGGAAAAAAUGCUACCACAGUCAUAACAGCUACAAUUGGGUUUUUCUCAGUCAUGAGCAGCAAACUAGUAACAAACAAAAAGAUAAAAGAAUUCCUCUUUUACUAGACCAAAUUAAGCAUACAUACCACAUAGAACGCAACCAACAAAACUAGUAAAAAUAUAGCAAUGACAGAUGCUUCAACAAGUAAAACCAAAGACCUUCUCUAAUCAGAUGUAAAAAUUUCUGAUGUACUAGGCAACUGAAAUUUGAGCGAAUGAGUAAGAACAUCAAAAGCUCCUGAAAGAGAAAUUCCAGGCAUUUUGCAUACUGCUGGACCAAGUACAAGCAUUAGUGGCACCUGUAACAGCAAAAGAGAACGUUGCUCAACAUAGUGGAAGCCAAGAGAGAAUAGUAUUAAGCUUACAUAUUUCAAAUUAAUCUCACCAUGACACCUGAAAAAUAUACUAAUGUAACUAUGUAAAGGAUGCUAAAGGAGCUUGCAUCAGAAAGUGGCAAAAAGCAUGCCUGCAAUUGCAAACAAGAUAGAUUGGAUAUGAGUAGCCACUCCACUAGAGAGAACUAUAUGUAUAAAGUUAAAGCAUCAAAUUUCAAGUUUGGUUACUUCUUUUGCCUUGAAACUACUUAGAUAGAUUCCAAGCAAAUCAUGAACUCGCAACUAGAAUUCGACAGACAGAAGAGACUCACGGAUCAAGCAGACUUAGACUACGCCCACUCCAACCCUUAGUUGGGCUGGAGGCUACUAAUGCUAUAAGUACAGUCACCAUGGCACAGCAAAUUACCCUGAAAUUUGAAUGACAAGUAAUUAAGUCAACCAAAAAAUUUUUAUGAAACUCUUAGCUACUACUUACACAAUAUAACAGCAAGCAAAUUUCUUUACAAACUACAAGUAAAGGCACUUAUAGGCCAACUGAAAACACAAGCGUAACAGCCACUUUUAACAUUCUUAGUGACAGAAUCCCUUUAAUAUAGUAAACAAGAGCUACAACAUGAAUAAUAAUAAACACCUGUACAUGCCCAAGAAUGGAAAAGUAAAAUUAGAGAUUAAGAGCAACAUAAGGCAUAAAUUUAAAAAGAUUGAGAAGCAUAAAAAAAGUAAAAGCGAAUCCCUGACUACAGUAAUAGCGAAUGAGAAAGCAAGAAUGGCAGAAAAACCAGCCAGUUGGAACUAACCAAAAAUGAAGCAAAAUGCUCGGAUGCCAUGACCGGAUUAAAGCCCAGAACAGGGACCAAAGCAGCCAACAAUGUUCCCAAGACAACUUAUAUUUGAAAUUACAAAGACAUUAGUACAAGGAUGAGUAGAAUAACAGCGUUAAAGAGGCAUAUUUAUCUUAAAGACAUUACUAAUUCAAUAUAAAUCAAAACAGAUUUGGACAAUACUACAACCAGACAUAAAAACCGAUAAUACAGCCCAAACCAAAACCAUAGAAACAACUAAAAAGCUGGAGAUUGAUGCCAAGGGUAAAAAUAAAGACAUAAAAUAAUAGGUCACUUACCAUAAGAAAUUGUGGAUUCAACAUAUCUGGAGUUCAAUUCAAACUCCUCUGCCACUUCAAAUACGCUAACAAACAUGUUUCAAGAGCAAAUUACCAACUGUGGUAGCAAUCACAAUGGUCAAACAAACUAGAGAACGGAUAAUCCAUAAGUCCAGCAAUUGAAAAGAAAUAUGGCUCGCUAUGGCUCUAAAACCCUGGUAAGGACGAUGAUCAAUGCAAUAAAGGUAAACAGCAAAAGAGAGAUAACAAAAAUUUCGAAGGUAAAAUCCUUCAAUGUCUUAGUAAUUCAAUUUCAUCUCCUAACGGCAAUUAGAGUUUUCCGCUGGUAGAUGAAUAUAUCAAAACUGCCUUUGACAUUGACAAUUUCCACUUUGGAGUGCAUAAAAUUAAAACGCAGAUACAGGUACAUCAGAUUUCAUAAAUCUAGCACUUCGACUCACUUACUAAACCAAUAACCAAAACAAUUAAAAAAAACUCCAAAUCGACUAUACUAAUAAUAUUUCUUAAGCAGUAGACCAAUCGCACAUUUAACAUUUUUCCUCCGAGAGAGAGAGAGAGAAGGUCCUUUCCAUAAUCGAUAUUAAAUUAUUCAUCCACAUCACCUACCUACUAUGUGCGUACAAUAAUUCCCCAUCCAGACACAUAACAGAAUAUACCUGCUUGAGUUCAGGCCUAGACAAAUUGGACAUGGCGAAAAUUUUCAUAGCAUCAUUGCCAGUCAAGCAGCUAUCGCCGUCUGCACAAAAGGAAAAGUAGAAUGCUAAGUAAAUAAAUCUAUAAGAAAGAAAGAAAAGAAAAAAAAGAAAGAAAGAAAGAAAGAACAUAGUUAACGAUUAAUUGGAAGGGAAGAACAGCAACUGAAUUAAUUUGAACGAAAAAGUUAUGACCAAAAAAAGAAGGAAAACCUGAGUCGGCGAAGUUGAACCAAUACUCAAGAUUUAAGUGGAAAAUUUGACCCAUAAACUCAAGAUUCAGUCUAUCCGACCUACAUUUGACAAAAAAAUAUCGAAAUUAGAUGGAAAAUAUUGAGAUUACAUACCUCAAAUUAUGCCUUCACUCCCUUAGCUCUUGUUUUCCUUAAGAUUCAGUCUUCGAACUCUGGCUUUCCCCCAAAAUUCACGGCCAAUUUUCUGUGUUCUUGCCAGCAAGCAAGUGCAGCACCAAUCUAGGGAUUUUUGCUAUUUGCGAGGUCACUAAAGUUGCCCAAAUCCUUUGGGUAGCUCAAAUUAGGGAUGAAAAAGGUGAUUUAAAGUGAUUUUGUGGAUAAUUUCAGCAAGAUGACAGUAAAGCAUAAGAAGAAAUGGAGAAGAUGAUAAUGUCCGAAACUUUCAACGAGAGAGAGAAAAUGCGGUACGAAAAUUUUCAACGAGAAAGAAGAAAUGAUAAGUGUUGUGAGUGUUUUAGUUUAACUCUUGCCAAAACGACGUCGUUUCUAUCUCAUUUUGUUCACCCCGCCUCUACACCUUGAAUUUUCAGCUUCCCGCUUCCAUUUUAACUUAGCACAAAAAGUAACGCUUUCAUUCUUUUUUGUACAAACUAUUUGAACCUUUCUUUAUAAAAAUAACGCCUUCUCUAAUAUCUCUUUUUUUUUUCCCAUCUAUGUGUAAUUAAGAUUGUUUAUUAUUUUGAACUUUUUUAACUCACAAGUUGUAUUAAAACUUUAUUUGUAAUAUUAAAACUUUAGAAUAUGAAAUUUUAAUAUUUUUGGAUUUUUUUUACUAACAUAGGAUUUUUUUUGGAUCUCUAUGACAAAAUAAUGUUCAAAAACUAAAAAUUUUAUUGAAUAGGAUUUUCUUAAAAAUUUUAUUAAUGUUCAAAAUAAUGUUUAUUGAAUUUUUUUCUUUUUUUUAUUAACAUAGGUUUUUUACUAAAUUUUGAAAAUUUAUUUUUACCGAGCAGCUCAGCAAAGGUCGAAAACUUGAAUCAAAGCAUCUCGACAUUAGGAUCUCUACCAAAAAUAAUGUUCAAAAACUAAAAGGCUUAUUACAAAUAUGUUUAUGAUUCAAAAAAAGAUCUUUAAAGGCAAAUAUUUUUGUUAUCAAUUUAAUAAUGUUAUCAAUUAUGCACGAAGUGUGGUCUGACAAGACCAAACAAUCUGUUUAGUUGAUCAAAUAACCAAAAUGGUUUACUAAUACAUAUAUGAAACACUAAAUCUAUUUGAUACAAGUACUGAUUCAUUAACCAUAGAUCCAAUUUGAUUAUUGUAAAUUGUAAUACAUAACAAACUCCAGUCAUGCAAUUGUCAAAAUUUUUACUUAAUUUCAUAUUAAAUUUUAUUAUUCUCUCCGCUUAUUAUUUUCACACUAUGUUAAUCAGUAAUUUCCUAUAUAUUGUCAAGAGAACUAAAUAAUGAAUUCAUAAUAUUUUUUAAAUUUAUAACUAGCUAUUAGUUAAGUUUGGAAUAAUUAAAAAAUAGGUAAACAUCUUUUUUUACAAUACCUUCCUCAUUUUGCUAAUGAUGAAUAUAACCUAAUGUGUAAAAGCAUAGGGUGCCAUAAUAGAAUUAAUACAACCUUUCUUUAUCGCAUACGAGGCUAAAUUGCAAAAGACACUAGUGUCAUGGUAGAGUUAAUGAGAUUAGUUUACCAAAUAUGGGCCUAAAAUAUAAAAGUUCAGUGAAAUAACAUAAUUAAUUAAAUUUAUUUACAACACAUGGGCCAUAUCAAAAAAUUAAUGUGGUAUAUGGGGCUAAAAUGUAAAAUUUAGGGUGUCAUAGUAGAAUUAAUAAAAUUUAUUUAUAACACAUGGGCCAUAUUGAAAAAAUUAAGGUGGUAUAUGGGGUCAAAAAGCAAAAGUUAGGGUGCCAUAAUAGAAUUAAUAAAAUUUAUUUACAACAUAUGGGCCAUAUUGAAAAUAUUAGGGUGACAUAGUAGAAUUAGUGAAAGUGGGAUGAGAAUAAACGCUUUGUACAGUGACGACUACUUGUUGUCACUAAUUUAGAACGUAUCACCAUACUGUGACGAUAUUAAAAAGUUGUCACUGAAAUUGGUCCUACAGUGACAACGUCUUUUCCAGUCGUCACAAUGUUGAUCUCCUGCCAGACUGCAUAGUUGCGCGCCAUCCAUACUGUGACGACUUAUCCCUUGUUGUCACUGUUGACGGGUGAACCCACGAUCAAGCAUGACGACUUUUAGUGUUGUCACUAAAGUCUUCAAUUGUGACAAGUUUCUAUGUUGUCACAGAGAAUGUUGUCACAAAAGGCCAAAUUUCUUGUAGUGACCCCAAUCUCCCUUGUGUUUGGAUGGGGGAUUUUAAUGAGAUUUUAAUGAGUUCGGACAAGAAAGGGGGUAACCCGAUUAGUCCAAAUAGAGCCUGUUUAUUCAAAGAGUGAUGGAGAUCACUAUGAGCUACACACAUAAGGAUAUAUUUUCUCAUAGAAGAACACUUGCUUCAGAACAGACCAGCGCAGGUAUUAGUCAUGACAGGAACUGACGUCUAGGAAAAACUUGGAGGUAUUAACUAGGUUUCGUAAGGAAUCCUCCAAUGAUUAAAAAGUCGACACCAAAAAACCAAAAAAAAAUCAGAUUUAACAGGUGAACCGCACCCGAAAAAACAAAAAAUAAACCAAGGCUCUGGCAUAUGCAUUCGUCGUAGGUAAAUUAUUUGGGAUAAACAUGUACCACUUUUCUUGGGUGUCCAGGUCAUCUGUUCUAGCAGUUUCUGAAUCGUUUGAUACUUCACCCCAUACUAUUUAGAAGUUAAUUAGAGUAUUAUGCAGCCCCUUGUUUUUCUUUUAAAAGUGUAAAUUUAAUUAAUUAAUGUAAUGAUUUUAGUGACUUCCCACAUCUUCUUGGUUUGGAUGGUUAUCUUUACUUGCAAUAUCAGGCAACACCAAUAUCAAAGCAAGCCCCUACCUAGUUGGACAAUCUAUGGCCUUACUCUCAGUUGAUUAUUUUAAUUGGUUAUAGAUUCUAAUAUUGGAUAAUUAAUUUUUAUGAUGCUCUCGAUUGAUUUUGCAUUCUGAUUAUAGUUUUUUUUUAUCACCAAAAAAAUUAAAAUUUAUAAUCAUUCAAAGAGUAGCAUUACUUGUUCUGAUUAUCUCUAUAAAUAAUUUCUAUAAUCAGAUUAUAUAAAAUCUAAAGCAAUCGAGAAGAAGGCCUAUGUGUAGAAUUUAGAAAACAAAGCCCGAAUUGUUUCGUCUAGAACAGACAGUUUUUAACAUAUUUAAGAACAUAAAUGAAGGUAAUCAAGUCUACAUUUUCCCUCCCCUUCUUGAACUGAUUGGAGUUUGUUUAUCACUUUAUCCCCAUUAUUAAGUGUGCCAAAAUACUUCUAGAUUAUUGAUCAAUCAACUUCCGAAAAAUCAACCCAUAGCAUGAUAUAACAAGCCAAAUUAAGCAUGUCAAUUGACAAGCCUCCAUCUGAGAGGUUGACUUUGCGCUAAUCAUUUUCAACGGAUUGCUUCUCUUACUGCACCAUUUAUAGCACUAUAAAGGCAUUAGAAGGACAAUUAUUGAUACUAAUACCAAUUGUUAAUUAAUGGAAUUGUUACACCUCACCCUCCAUUCAGAAGUUCCUUACUUUAUCAUCAAUUUUCAAAUUAUUUUCGGGGGAAUAAUCAUCCAAUCUCAAGGAAACGAGUUUGACAAACAAUUAGCCUUUUACAUUGUUUAGUCCCUUUCCAUAGCACAUUUUUUCAUCCUUAACUAAAAAUAUUAUACUAUUUAGUGCAUGCAAAUACAUCAAAAACUCUCCACUACGUUAGUGGAAUUGUGGGUCGGCACCAUAACAUGAUAAUAUGGCCAUCGCACAUGACACUCCCUACAGCUUUUGCAUUCCAUGCGUUAGCUUUUCUCGUCCACAAACUUUGCUUCGUUUUCGUUCAACGUAAAAUCUUCAUCUUCAACAGUAUUCUGAAUAAUAUAAUUAAUACAAUUGUCCCCCACUUCUUUUCUUUUGCAAGUUUGGAACUUUUCUCACCAACUUUGCUUCUUGUACAACUAUAAAUACCUCAAUUUUUUAUGAAUGUUGGCACCAGAGAACAUCCAAGCAUUAGUAGCUAUAGACAAGAGAAUUGUAUCAUUCACAUUGUUUAGAAGCUAAAUUGUGAUUUUAGCCAAAUUUAGCAUCAAAGAUGACUAAGUUGAAGGCAUUGUUAGUUCUUGUUUGUUUGCUUAUUUCAGCUCUCGCUAUGGUGGCUGAAAGCCGAGUAGCGAGAAAGGACUUGGGUUUGGACUUGGGGUUACCCAUAGGGGUAGGGAUUGGAGCCGGAGUAGGGAUUGGUUUAGGAGGUGGGAGUGGCUCAGGAGCUGGAGCUGGCGCAGGUUCUGGCUCAGGAUCUAGUUCUAGUUCGAGUUCAAGUUCAAGUUCAAGCUCGAGUUCAUCAGGUUCCGGUGGUGCAGGCUCAGAAGCUGGCUCGUCAGCAGGAUCAUAUGCUGGAUCAAGAGCUGGUUCGAGGUCAGGCUCUGGUGGUGGAGGCUCAGAAGCAGGCUCAUCGGCAGGAUCAUCAGCCGGAUCAAGAGCUGCUUCAGGAUCAGGAGGCAGUCGAGGAGGAGGAUCUGGCCGAGGGUCUGGUUCAGGCCAUGGUGAAGGUUAUGGCGAGGGUUCAGGAAACGGAGGUGGCCAUGGUGAAGGAGGUGGAUCUGGAUCAGGUUAUGGUGAAGGAAAUGGAAAAUGAAUACAUGUCAAAUGCAUAUAUGUUAAAGAAGGAAAUAAAGUGGUAGUCAUGCAGUACUUGGACUCGUGCAUUUUGUUUUAGACCUUGUGUAACUAAGAAUGAUCAUUGCCUGCACUUUAAGUAAAUUGAAGAAAGUUGAAUGGUGUCGUAUGUUUUCUUCCGUUUGUAGUAAAAUCUAUGAAAUCCCUAGCUACAAGGGUAACAGCAAUAAAAUUAUUGUCAUUUUGUCACUGUAUCAGUCAAUUUCAGUUAAACUCCCAUGCAUGUCAAUUGCAAUAAACUCGUUGAAGAGGGAAAAAAUCGUUUUCCUUGUUACUGUUUAAGACAAAAUACCGAGCAUGGUCAUAAAUCUUUGUUUCUUGAUGCCCUACCAAAAUAUAUGCUUACUUACUAAACAUCUCUUUUAUUCUCUGAUGGUUUUCUUCAUUCAGGUCCGUCACCUUCUUCUGUUUCUAUCGUUUCCUCACUCUUACACAAGAAAUUACUAAAGUUUUUCUGAACUUUUAGUUUCAUCAACAUGCAUAUUCUUAGAUAUCAAACUAAGUUUUAUCAAGUUUCUGUUUAGCAAGCCAUUAGGAGAUUUUAAUUAAUUAGGAGGAUUUCACCCCUCUUGUGAAGGAUGCUGUGAGUCUGAAAGAGUUUGAAAAUGAAAUUUAAACAAAAUUCGAAAGUUCAUUGAAACUCUUUGAGUGUCGAAAUAUGACUUUCUUUUGUAUUAAGGAACGGUUAAAUUAUGAAAAUAGUAUGUGAACAUUUUACUACGACUAUGAGAGAUGCAGUUGAAAAAAGAAAGCUAAAUCCAAACUACGAGAACCGAAAAUCAAAAUCAAUUUAGAAUCCUGAGUUUUCAACAUAUCGUUAUGGAAUGUCAAUUUACAAGUAGAUAAAUUGUUAAAACUAUUAUUCAUCUUCAAUAAAGAGUGACAGGCCGUUAAACCCUCUAAUCAGUUGAUUUUUUUUUUUUUUUGUUUCGAACUUCUUAUCUGGGAGGUAAACCAUGUCAAUGUGCUCGUUAUGAGUGUCUUUUGUAAAUUGGCAUAGCAUCAUUCAUUUUCUGAGAGAUUGUUCAGAGUGAAACACCCUUAUUAUUAUCUUUGACACCGGUUUUCAAAUGUCUAGGUUUGCAAAGCAGUAGAUGAUUAAUUCUUCUACGGACUAUAUACUGGACUUAGCCAUUUGCAAGGAUCAUGAGUCUGUUCACAGUCGAAUUUGUUGGUCAGAAAAAAGGAAAAGAAAAGAAAAAGAAAAAACGUAAGGACGUUAAUGGCUCUAUAAAGAGUACAACCGAACAGGUAAAUAGCAAAUGGAAGAUAAAGCUAGCAAAACAAAUGUUUUUUUUUCUAUAUAUAUAUAUAUAUAUAUAUAUGUUCGUGUAUAUAUAUGAACUUAUCUGCGUCAACUUUUUUUGAAAGAAAAUGCUUUUUUGAUAGAACACUAUUAUUGAAAGUAUUUUUGUUUUGAUAGGAUACUAUUUUUGAUGACCAUAAUGAAGUAGAGAAGUGAUUUUGACUGGUGCUUAGCCACCACCGCAUUUGAGUUUAAUGAGUCAGCCUUUCACAAUUCAAAGUGUAAAUAUAUGGUUCCACUCAUUGGUUAUCCUUUUAAUGGCUGCUUAUUUUGUCUUCAUUCUUCAUGAUUCUGAAGUAUCUUAUAUGCUUGUGAGUUGUGACACCUCGUUAUUCUUAAGUCCUAUCCUACGUGACUAUUGAUUUGGGUAAUUAUUUUCCUAGCUGCGGCCUAUGAGAUUUUCCUUUUUCCUGCAAUUUCCUAAAUAAAGCAAUUCUACCCUUAUCACAAGUCUCAUAAGCAAUUUUAAGCAACAUUGCAGCUUCUAUAAUCAGGGUAAACUAUUACUUAUGAAUGUUCAACUAUAUACUUCUUUGCAAAUUUUGUCCUCAAUCAUUGUGUAAGCAGCUUAUCGCCAGUCUCUCCUUUGUUAAAUCUGGUUCUUAGAUUCUUGUUUCUAGUUUUUCUGUUUUCACUUUUCACUAGUUUGCUCUUAUUGUUAGUGAAUAUAUACACACACACAUACAUAUACAUGUAUAUGUAUGUGUGUGUAUGUAUAUGUAUGUGUAUAUAUAUAUAUGUAUGCGUGCGUAUAUGUAUGUAUUAGUGAUGUUACAGUCCUCGAGGACAUGGAUAUCUUGAUCACGGCCAGAAAAUUCGCACUACCAGUUCUUUUUCCACUUCGUUGCCUCAACCUUCUUUUGACAACUUAGUGCGCUAAAGACGAGCAAGAUUGAUUGGAAGAGUCUUGAAUCUCACCAUUUUUAGCACCACUUCUGCUACACUUUUGGAGGAUGCCCUUCCACUCGUCAAAACUCUUCUCGCGUAAAACCUUUCUAUACAUAAGGUCGCGCCGUUAUCGAUUGGGAACUCUACACUGACAGCAAAUUGAAUCAUUCAUAAGUUGACUUCAUUUCCAACACUCUACCUUGUUGAUUCAUCUCUAUUUGCAAUUUGCAAAGGAAGACUGUGCCUCGUACACAAGGAGCAAGGGCAGCUUCUUGUUCCUUGUACUGAUUGAACAAGUUCUUGAAUUACCAAGAGCUGCGGUACCAUUGAUAGCUCAUUUGGCUGUUAUGGUUUCUGAUGCCAUCCUUUCUACUAGCAGACAUCGGAUGUGAAAUUCUCACAUAAGCAAAUAGAAAUUUAAUGAAUGUGAUGUAAACUUGAAUUUAGAUUUGUCAUGGCUUAAGUUGAUGAGUGUGGGUAUCAUGGUUUAUAAAUAUAUGCAGUGAUUUCGAACUUAGAAUAAAAAUUGUCUGGAUAACGAAGCAAGCUUAAUCUUGGAACAAUUUCCAUAAAAGACUUUUAUUUUCAGUUCCUGUAACUCAGUCAACAAAUCCUUCUGCUUUCUAGGGGUUCCAUGUUACUUUUUGUUGUUCUCUUUUUCCUUCCAAACAAGAAGAAAAAGUUUUAGUUCCUUUGCCAUGUAAGAAGACCGGCAGCAUUUCAGUAUUUCUCCCUGCAACGGUCGUUUGAAACAUAUUGAACGAUUUCAUCUACUAACUCUGCCCUUUUACCUGAUGUGGCCAACAAAGGUAUGGCAAAGGAGGAAAAAAAGCCAUACCUAAAUAAAAUGAACCCAAAAAAAUAGUAGCUGUCACUCGUAAAUAUACAUACAUUUUUUUUUAUAAUUAUGUAUUUCACAAAAGAUUAACAAGUAAGCUUGACAAUACGUACUCAAUAAAGCUUGAAACCUGGACAUACUUCUCUGAUUGGCGGGUAAUAUACCUUGAACAUUUACCAUUUGCCUGGAAAGGACUUUCGGCUGAGCUUAGAACUACCUUCUUGUUGCUCAAGAUCACCCUGUUUAAACAAACACAGCCAGAUGUCAUCAAGCUAGAAUUCUAUAUAUUCUCAAUUACAAGUUCUUUGCCAAUAUGUAACCAUGAAUGAUGUCCUUUCAUCAAAAACUGAGGCUUAAUCCAGAAGACGCACUUUUUAUAGCUGCUACGCCAAGCAAAUUCGAGGCUGCAAGCUCGUGGAGAGUAGGCAUCAUAAUUAUAGUUGUAUUCAUCGUUAAUUAUCAUGUCCAUUUAUUUGGCUGCAAUUUUAAUAGUUGCGAGUUUAUCAAGCCAUCAAUUAUAUUGAUGCAACAUGCAGUGAAAUAAGUACUUUACAGUACGUACGUGGGGGAGAGAGAGUGGAGACUCUGCUAAUAUUCUCUAUUAACUUGAAAGUGUUGUACUGUGACGUACUUUUUUUGGUUUAAGAAAAAAUAAUAAAACAACCCCAAGUACAAUGGCGUAUUAGUGUUGUAUUUCCAUGUCACAAUAUUACACUAACAGAUUAAUUAGGUUCAUCUGCAAUAUUCAGAAUUCAGUUCAGUUUUAAUACUGAAAGGUGUUUCAAGAAAAUUUAUAAUAAGCUUUUGUCACUAAAUUUGCUAGAAGUGGAAGCCGAUGACUUAUAAUUAGCAAUGUUUAGAAUGGCUUCCAUUAAUUGAAAUCCAUGAUUUAAAGAAGUCGUGUAUAUAUAGUUACCCAUAGAAUGUGAACUAAUUGAUUAUCUGAAAUUUUGAAAUUGAUUGACAGAUUUAAAUUGUAGGGUCAAAUCAUACGCAAUAAAUUGAGGGUUAUUACAACUAGUCGAAUAAGUUUAACAAGCAGGAUGAGAUGAUGAGAUAUAAAAUUUGUUCUAGCUAUUACAUAUAUAUAUUUUGUAAAUGAAUAUAGUGAACCACAAAUGGGUAACAUCACGUCAAUUUUUGCUGUUCUAUAGAUCAAUAAGUGGCAAUAACAUUUCCCAUAGUUGUGUUUCUUAAGUUAAAAGUCAGUUAAGAAGUGUAUUAGAUUAUUAGUAAAAUUAAAAAAAAAUCACAGUUUAAACCUAAAUAUUGACUUUUAAUUGUUGCAACAGAUGGGCAAAUUCAUUUGUCUAACAAAGUUUGAGUACAAUUAUAGUAGGUUUUCUCCUCUACCCUUCCUCCUCCAUAGGAGCCUCCCUCUUCCUUUGUCCUUUGCUCUUCCUUCCAAUCAAUAAAGUCUCUCCUAGAUUAUCCUAGUGAGAGUUUUCUUCCCUCCUAGAGUGUUCUAUUGAGAGUUUUAGUCUCUCCUAAACUAUCUUAGUGAGAGUUUUAUUUAGUUUUGUUCUUUACUUUUUCAGAUCUUGGAGUUUUUUUAGAUCUAUGUGUUAGAUCUACAAUUUCUUCAGUCUUCUCAUCAGAUCUCACUUUCAGUUUUGAGCUUGAACCAGUUGGAUAGCAGAUCUGAGGGAAUAUUUCAGAUUUGGAUCAAUCUCGGCAGAUCUCACCAUCUUUAUUAGACCUUACAACUGUUGAUUAGCAGAUCUGACGAUUACAGCAUGCACAAAGAGAACUGCAGCGAUUUUUUCUAUGAUGAAAUGUUUUUCAAAUUUAUGGUACUUUUUAGAUCUGUUGUUAAUUUCUCAAAUCUUAUGUAUUUGUUAAAUUGCAGAUCUAUAAUUUUACUGCAUGUUUAUCUGCCAUCAGGGCAGCAAUGUAUCUCAAUUGUACUGGACGAUUUCCAGUAAUCCUUUAAUGAAAUAUGUUUUAUUAUCAAAAAAAAAAAAACAAAGUUUGAGUACAUAAUAGAAUUUUUUGAAUAUUGAGAGAUGUAUAGAAUCUUGAAGGGAAGUGACUGAUUAGCAAUAUAUAAACUUAGCCGAAGUAUCGAUUAAGGAUCACGGCCAGGUUGCUGUUGCUCAUCCUGAUAACCAUAUACUCCCUCCCUUUUUUUAUAACUGACGUUUAAGGUUUUGCACACCAAUUAAGAAAAGUUUUUCAUUGUUUAAAUCUAUACACUACUUUCCUUUUGUACCCUCAUUAAUUGUCCAAUUCACUCAUAUUUUCUCUCACUAGAGUAUUAAAUGGUGCUGUUUUAUUAGGAGUAGUAAUUAAGAACCCUGUAUUGGAAAAGAGAGAUAAAAGGGUAAAAUUGUGAAAAAAUAAUUAAUGCUGCAUGGGGAUAGUAAAACGACAGAUAAAAGUACUUAAGAGCAAAUUUCUUAAACGUCAGUUAUAAAAAAAGGGAGGGAGUAUUUAUUAGAUUGAGCAAAUCAUAAUCCACAUGCCCAACGGUUCAUGCUUCUAAUCAAUUAAGAAAACAAUAAUAAUUAUGAGGGAAAAUUGUUCAAAACAUCCCUCGUAUUUAGUUAAAUGAAUUUUGCCGUCAUUCACUUUAAAAAUUGUAACUUUACCUCCCUUACAAUAUCAAGUCGGUAAAAUUUAGUUCUGACAUAAAUUUUUUUAUUAAUUUUACUCUAACUUUAUCAUAUGACUCAUACAUGAUCAUUUUCUUUGGAGCAAAAAGAUUAAAUCUUAUUUGUAAUUAAAUAAAUGAUCUGAUCUAUAUCCAUUUUUAUCCCUAAGAAAGUAGGAUUGGCCCGAAUCAUAUUAAUUUUUUCCUAUAAAAGUAAAAUUUGAUCCAAUCUAUAUUCAUUUUUAUCACUAAAAAAGUGGAAUCUGACCUUUUUGUACAUCAAAAUAAUUGUAUGUAGAUUACUUGAUGAUUUCAAACUAAAAAGUGAUUAAAAACUUAGGCCUUGUUUGGAUUGCCGGUUUCUGUCGAAAAAUUAUGUCGUUUUCCGUGAUCACAUUUUCCUAUUACCUUUUUCCCUCACAUAUAUCAAAUCGCUACAGUAAUUUUUUCAUGAAAAAUCACGAAAAAUGCAAUCCAAACACAACCUUAGGUUGAAAUCAAAAUUUUACUAACUUGAAUUUGUGAAUAACGUAUAAUUAAUAUUUUAAAAAUAAAUGAUAAAAAAAAUUCAUUUGAUAAAAUAUGAGCGAUAUUUUCAACUAUUUUUCCUGUACAUAAGACAACCAUUUUCAUCGACAAUAAUGUUAGUACAGCGAAGCAUUCACGUACUUGCACUCGACUGCCGUGUGUUGACGGAAUCGAUGAGUGGUCAAGCAUUUCUUCGUUGAACAAAAUAAAAGGGAUCCAGUUCACAACUCUUGAGUACAAAUUAAUGAGCGUGUUCAUAUGGUGGUGGGAACUCGAUUUUCCUGUAGUAUUAUAAUUGAAGUUGCUUGUUAGGUUUGGUCUAGUCAAAAACUCUUUACUUGCAAGCAAAUACAUGAUAAUUAAUCUCACAUUCUAUCUUAUUUUUUAAGAUUAAUUAUUUUAAUACCACCACCACACCCACCAAGAAUAAUAUAUAUCAAUCCAUUGACCGUUAACUGGGACAACAUUUAUUUAGAAGAACAAUAGCCAUUAUUUACUUUAGAAAACUCCGAGAUAAAUGAACAUGGAGGCACCAAAUGUUUGUGGCUUUGCUUUGGUACUCCACUCCACAUCCAUCUUACAUACAUAAGCAUCUGUUAAACACAAAAUAAGCCCUCUAUCUUGCAAGUAUUGCUGUAGCAUGGACUUUUACCGUUUCUUUUGGUUAAAUGGAGUUUGUGUCUAAUCAAUAUUUUACAUUAAAUGGUACCUGUGGCAAGAGCUAGUGAAUAGAAAAAGGAACUUUAAAAAAACUCUACAAAAAUGUGAAAAUGAACACAAUUUUAAGAUUUUUUUUGGGUAUUACAGGCAAAGAAUUCACAAUAAUGAGAGAGCAACACAUAUAAAUUACGAUUCAACGAUAUUACAAAAUAACAGACAAAUGGUGGGAUAAAUACUAACAUAUAGCUGCAAAAACUUGCAUAUGUCGCGAUUUAAAUCUAGAUUGAGAUGAUUUCAGAUAAAAUAAUUUAUUUCACAAAUUUUAAUAUUUUUUUAUCUUUACAGUAAUUAUCUUAAAUAAAUCAUCCAAAUAAACUCUUAUUCAAACAAACCCCUAGAUCUCUAAGUGUCGUCGAAACUUCUGGUCACCGGACGAAAACCUCAUCGAUACAAAUAUACACGUAAAAGAAGAUAAAGAAAAAAAUACAUUUUGUUUAACAUACAUUAUGUGAAUGAAUGGAUAUGCCUUGCAUGUCCUGCAAUAAAAGCAUUUAUGAAUGUGUGCAUUGAAAUUAAGGGAUCAUGGAUUGCCAGUGAAUUUAACCCCCCAAAAAAAAAGCCAUCAAUUAAUCCGCGGUACAGUUAUAGCUGUAAAGCCAAGCUGGCAAAGAGUGCUGCAGACUACAUAGUACCAACUAUCACACUGUACAGAGGGGAUGGAUUAGAAAUUAGCAGAAACUGUGAUGAGGGAAACGAUAGAGAAGUCAAAUGCAGAAAAGAGCACCGCCCAUAUACUCCAAACCUGGAGAAGUGGGGACCAACACCGCCUGGCAUUUUCCGGUUCCGCGUUUUUCUCUGGUAUGAGUAUCGUCUCUGUCCAGAGCCAGAAACCGGUCGCCUCGAAUGCCCCUUGUAAAAAGUUACCGGCUUUCGAGGUUUCUUCUGAAAUUAAAUUUAUAAAAAUCAAAUUUUUAAAUUUUUGUUUAAAAAAGGUCAAGGGAGAGUGCUCCUUGUAAUUAAGUAGUUUCGAUUAAACUGAAAUUUAAAAUUAAAAAUAUGAAAUAUGAAUUUAUCGAGUUAUUUGAUUAUUAAAUAUUAAAUUGAUAUAUUUAAAUAUAUAUCACAUUAAAUGAUAAAUUAAUAAUUUAUUACUUAUUAUUUAGAGUAAAUUUUAUCUAAAGAAUUUAAUGUUACUUUUAUGUCCUUUUUUUUAUUAUCAAAUAUAUUUGAAUAUAUUAAAAUUUGAAUUCAUUGAAUUUAAAUACUAAAUUACAGGCAGGGCUUUGAUGUCACGGUCGACGCGGGAUCAGCCAAUGAGAUGGCCCCAUGUUGUAGUGAUUAUUAUUGCCAGGAGCACCCAAAUUUACAGAAACACCCCGUUGAAUGAAUGAUUCCACUAAAAAUAGUUUUUACAAAUUAAACUUUCUUUUUUCUUUAAUUUAAAAAUAAAGUCUUUCUUUAGCUAUUGCACUCUUUUGAGGAGUAUUGCUAGAAAAAUCGACAGCACAAAUCACGACAUGCCUGUACUACUUAUAAUUUAGGGAAGUAAGAGAAAAAUCAUAUACAAAUAGAGGAGAUAAAAAAAAAAUAUAAAACUAUGACAUGAACACACAUCAUAUUGUAAAUUAUCAUUCUAUUUUAGUUACAUGACGACAGUUGUUUGCGUAACUCCUUGACAUGUUAAAUAAUAGUUUGGGCAAUUUUUUUUUUAUGUUUUUAGGAUGUUGACCGGUGGAUUAUUAGAGAAAAAUAAUUUGAUUGCUAUUUCUUUUCCAUUUCACGCCUUCGAGAAACUGACGUAUUCAUCAGUUACCACGCCAUGAGAAUUUUUUAGAAUUGAAUAGAUAUGGCUAUUCCAGAAUUUAUACCCUAUAUGUUGUUGAUGAAAAAGAGUUGGGCAAAUGAAAGGUGCAAGGCACUAAAAGUUCUUCAAGUUUGUAAAGGAAUAAAAUAGCAUGGAAGUUUUGAUCUGCACUCAAGACUUUAAAAAGUAACAGACAAGUGACAUUUGACGUCAAAUUUCCUACUACCUAAUUUUGAUAAACUCUCUUUUUUAUUUCCUUCAAUUCCUCCAAGAAGAAGUCCAAAGGCAUGUUGAGCAUUUGGUUGGAACCCAAUUAUUUUUAUCUCUCUCUCUCUUUGAUAAGAUCGAGUCAAGUGAAGAUAACUAUCUUUUAUCUGGAUGUCUAUCCAUGAACGUGAGGAAGUGAUACAUAUUUAACAAUCCGAUUGAGAUGGUGCAACUUAUUUUUUGUAAAAUUGCUAAAUAGUCCCUGAAGUAUUUAGCAUAUAAUCUCAACCCUACAAACAUUUGGAACUUUUUGCUGCUUUUUACCAAUUUGAUAUUUUACUUGGGCAUUUGAAACAUCCGUAGAUUUUCUUCCAAAAAAGUUAAACAUUGCAAACAAAUUAUAGGUAAAAGAAAAUUAGGGGAUAUAUAAGCUUGUCAAUCAACCCUAGACUCCCCAUUAUGAAAAAUUUGCAAGUUGGGUAGGAAAAAGAAAUAAUAUCUAACAUCUCAAUUCUCAUAUAUGAAGUUUUAGCAGAUAUUGAAGUUGAUUUGAAAUGGAUUGUUGAAGGCCUUUUUACAUAUGUUCAAUUCCAGAGUAUACCAAUUGGCUACAUGAUGGUGGUGGAGGGGUUUUUUUUUUUUUUUUUUUUGGUAAGAACAUGCCUAAAGGAACAAAUUGGACUCAAAUAGAAAGAAGUUGGGGGCGGGAGGAUGUAUGAACAAAAGCUUUAGGACUAAGUAAAAAAUCAGGGAAUACUUUAAGACAAAUUUAACCAUUUGGCCAAAAUAUGAUAGGAUCCUAAAAGAUCUUUUGGGAUUGGAGCCGUUUAUUGAAAAGCACUUCACUUAAUAGAGAUUUUUAAUAAAAGUACUUAUUAAGUGUUUAAACACUUUUAACUAUAUUGUUUGGAUACAUUGUUCAAUAAGUACUUAUUGUAUUAGACAAUAUGUAAUUUUAAAUAAUUAAAUUUGUUAAAAUAUAGGAUAAAAUAAUACAUUUAUUUACUUCAUAAUAUAGGAUAAAAUAAUUAAAUUUAAUAUUUUAUUUUUUAAAACACAAAAAUUAUUCCAAAAGUACCAAAUUUUAGCUUGCUAGAAGCCUAGAAGUGCUUUUAACACUAAACAUCUCAAAAGUUUUAUGGAAUUAUGUUUACCAACCAUCUCAAAAAGUGUUUUUAGCAAUAAAAUGUGCUUUUUUUUUGAUAAAAAAUACCGUUACUCCAAAAGUUCUUUUAUGAGAUCAUAUUUACCAAACAUUUUAGAAGUGUUUUUUUAACCAAAGCACCACAACGCAAACGAGGCCUAAAUCUUCUACGAAGUAUCAAAUCUUGGAGAAGUGUUUUGAAAGUCUUCAAGUGACAUCUUAAAUAAAUAAUGAAAAUUACGAACUUGACAAUCACAGGCCGCAAAAGUCCAAGCUCAAAUUUGUCAAUCACUGACUUUAAGUAAAUUUUUAACUAAAAAUUGUCAAUUUACUUACUUUAAGUGAAUGCUUAGCUCAAAAUAAUUCCAUAUACAUACGUCUAAAACACCAAAAAAAAAAGAAAAAAGAAAUGAAAUUUACACAUAGUGUGAACUUGAGCCAAGUAAGAAUUUAAUUUACACAUAAACGUGUAUACUUUGCCAAGUGGAGCUUAUUUAGAAACAGUCUAGUCUUAGGUGUUAAAUUUUCCAAAUACAGUUUAAAUACAAGAAUUUUGUGUGUAAAUUAAGUAACGGACUCUCACGUCAUCAACAAAUAACUAAUAACGAAUAACAGAAAAUGUUAGAAUUUUUCUAAUGGAUGCUCUAUAACAUAUCUAAUAUUCACCUAAUAUAUCGUAUAUAUACACAUAUUAACAAUUAUUAUUUUUCCUUGAAUUUAUAGAAUUAAUCUUUCCUUCACUGACAGUGUGACAGUGUAUACACUUUCAGCGUUAGAUGAAUGAUAACUAUACAAAAUUUGAAUUUGAAAUUCGACUUUUGCACACAUGUCAUGAAUCCAACGGUGAUAUUGUAUACACUUUCAGUGUAUAUAAGAUUUACUCAAAUUUAUAUAUUUUUUCUAUUUAAUCUUAUCUACCCUUUCUUAUAUUUAUUUACUUUUUAAUUAAUCUUAUAUUUUUAAAAAUAUAAUAUCUAAAAUAUACCUUAAGGGUACCCGUUGUACAUGCUCCUUUUAUACGCAAUUAUGUGUCUCAAAUAACCACACAUAUUUCCUUUAGCAGAAAAUUCCCCCCAACAUUUUCAAUCAUUGUAGCGCGUACAGCCGUAGUCCCAACAGCUAGUCUUUGCAGUAAUACACUUGUACAACACACAGAACACACACUGAUCAUUACUUACUUGUCAUCCUAAUAGUCAAAUCCAUUACAGCGUUACAACACAGUCAAUGCACUGCUAUCUUUACUCUCUUGACCUUUUCUAAACUGAAGUCUAGAAAUUCGGCUUUUAUAAACCUAAUCCCAGAAGAAACCUCAAAAGCCGGCAACUCUUGAGGUCCUUCCAGGGACUUAUAAACCAAACCCAAACCCCCCCCAGAACCGAUGUGGGAUGGCAAAUCCCACAAGGGCAAGCCAGUAAGGCCGCUGCUGCUAAGAAGUAAAGACCCCUCACGACACUCAGUAAACUACCCUUGCAUGAAUUUGCACUGCUAUCUUUACUCGUUCUCACACAUUUUCGCUUUUUCAAUUUAACCGUGUAAACCAAAUGCUACAACUAAUAUAUAUUAAUAUAUGUACGCCCUUCCUUGUACACCAAUAAAUUUAGUAUGUUUUAAAAUGGGUAAAAAAAUUUUAAGUUUGUUUAAUUAUUUUACCAAUUCAAAGGUCAUGUCUCCAACUACUCAGUUAAAAAAAUUCAAAAAAAAGUAAUUAUUGUCACGAGUUAGUCAAUAACCAUUAACGAGUAGUUAGUAUAUCUUUGUAAGUGUGCUUCGCAUAAAUAUUAAUAUAUAUACAUCAAAUUAUUUUAGUAGUUUUUCUAAAAUAAAUGUAAAAAUUGAGUUCAUUUAACUAUUUUACCAAAUCAAGUUGUCUUAUCUCCAGCAACAAAAUAAGAAAUUCAAAAGGUAAUUCCAGCCAAUUACCCUUGUUUGGAUUGUGAAUUUUUUUGUAAAAAGAAUUUUAUGUUUUUUGUAAAUAUAUUUUUCAAUCAUUUUUUACAUCACAUUCAUCAAACCGUUAGAGUAUAUUUUUUUUAUAAAAACUUCUAAAAAUAGCAAUCAAAACGGACAUAACCUGCAUAAAAUAUUUCAUUUGCUUUUUGAGAAAAAUAUAGCAAUUAAGUUUAUUUAAUUUAUGUUAUCAAUUAAACCGUCAUGUUUCUAAUGACUAAACUAAGAAAUUCAAGAAGGCAGAUCAGUCAGAUCACAGAUUACCUACAAAACAAGCCCAUAACCUCAUGAAUAUUCAGAGAAUAUUUUCGUCAUGUUUUACUUAAUAUAAAAAUAUGCCUGAUAAUGAUAAUUUUUUUUUUGAAGGACUGAUAAUGAUAAAUUGAGCUCGAACAGAAUUCUUUUUUUGUAAACGCCAUAAGAUGAUAAUCAUAGUGGCUUGACGUCAUAAUCUUUAUUAUUAUCAUCUUAAUUCACACGUCCAUUAUGUAUAUAAGUUGUCACGUACAUCAUAUAUGCAUUCUUACGUAUAAUAUACCAUCCUCUCCGUAGGGGGGAAAAGUAAUCCCAAAUCUAAAAUACGGCUUCUGUUUCCCUGCUCCCCGUCCCUUCCUUUCGUCGAAAUUCCUUCACUGAUUGGCUGUCCUCUGUGGCUGUCCCAUUCCCCACUGACCCUUUUCCCUCUCUUCGGAAUGAGAUCCUACGCAAAUACCUUCCCAUACCAAAAAUGAAAAAACCAACAAUAUAAUAAAAAGAAAGAAAAAAAUAAAUAAAAAAGAAAAGUUUCUCAUUUGCCAUUUCUCAUUUUCCAGUUCGAUUAGUUUAUUUCCUCCCUCGCAUCCAGCCGUCCUUCCUUUAACGCGUUCACGCGUAGACUUGUCUCCUGCUUUUGUGGUCUCCCACUAUAUAUAUCUCACCACCAUCCCCCUCCCCUCCUUAGCAGGUGCAGGCCUUUCUUCUCCGCCAUCUCUGCAUCUGUUAAAAAUUUUUGGCUUUUUUUUUUUCAAGAAAAUACAAUAAUCCCAUAUUCACUUCCAUUUCUCUUGAUUCCAGCAAAAAUAUUUCGAGAAAAAAAAAUCUUUUUCUGCCACUAUAUUCCUGUUGAUAACAAAUAAAUAGUUAGCAAGAAACAAAUAAUGCCGUCAUUGGAGGAAGAACUUUUCCCAUCAACGCCGGGGAAGUUCAAGGAUAGAGGAGGAGCCCAUAGCAUGAACCGGCAGUUCUACAGAUGUUUCGCUUCGACGAGUACCAUGUUCUUAUGGGCUCUUUUCUUGAUUGCUCUGACUGCGUCGUACUUGAGUUUCCAAUCUUUCGUGGACUCCGGCUCCCGUUAUUUCUCCUCCGCUUGGGGUGGCCACCAUUGGGAGAAACAAGUUAAGAGCUCUGCCCAGAUCCACCGGGCCAACGGGUUUUCCGUUCUCGUCACAGGUGCAGCCGGUUUCGUCGGGUCCCACGUCUCCCUCGCUUUAAAGAAACGGGGAGACGGCGUCGUUGGGUUCGACAACUUCAACAACUACUACGACCCGUUGUUGAAGAAGGCCAGAAAAGCGCUUUUAAACUCGCACAACGUUUUUAUCGUGGAGGGAGAUGUAAACGACGCUAAGUUGAUAGCGAAGCUCUUCGACAUUGUGGAGUUUACCCACGUGAUGCAUUUGGCGGCUCAAGCCGGCGUCCGAUACGCCAUGGAGAAUCCUCAUUCUUAUGUUCAUAGCAAUAUAGCCGGCUUGGUCACCCUUUUAGAGGCUUGCAAGAACGCCGAUCCUCAGCCGGCUAUUGUUUGGGCCAGCUCCAGUUCUGUUUACGGGUUGAAUGAAGACGUUCCCUUUUCCGAAUCGGAUCGUACUGACAGACCCGCUUCUCUCUACGCCGCAACCAAGAAGUCCGGUGAAGCUAUUACGCACACUUACAAUCAUAUCUACGGGUUGAGCAUUACCGGGUUGAGGUUUUUCACGGUUUACGGGCCCUGGGGAAGACCCGACAUGGCGUACUUCUCUUUUACCAAGGGUAUCCUGCAAGGUAAACCGAUUACGAUCUACCGGGGCAAGAACCGGGUCGACUUGGCCCGGGACUUUACGUACAUUGAUGACGUGGUGAAAGGGUGCGUGGCGUCGUUGGACACUGCCAAGAAGAGUACCGGGUCGGGUGGAAAGAAACGGGGCCCGGCUCAGUAUCGGAUCUUCAACUUGGGGAACACGUCGCCGGUGACGGUGCCGAUGAUGGUGGGGAUACUGGAGAGGCAUCUCAAGGUUAAGGCUAAGAAGAAUUACGUGGAUAUGCCUGGAAACGGUGACGUUCCGUUCACUCAUGCGAAUAUAAGCUUGGCCCGGAGAGAACUCGGGUAUAAGCCCACAACCGAUUUACAAACCGGGUUGAAGAAAUUUGUUAAGUGGUAUCUCGCAUAUUACGGCCACAAUCAUGGCAAGUCUGUAAAGCUAUGACAGGAGUAAAAUUCUUUUCAAUUUUUUUUUUUGGAAAAAUUUUCCUGCUGUAUUGUAGUUUUUUUUUUUUUUUUUUUUACCUCCUUUUUAAUUUUUUUUUUCACGGGAAGAAGAAAGGAAUGGAAAUGGAUAAUCCAUGUAAGCAGGAUAAAAGGAAAAGAAAGAAAAGAAAAGAUGAAUAGUAGUUACGUUAUUCUUUUCUUGAGGAAGAGGAGAGGUGAAGAUUGACUCCUUUUUCCUCGGUUAGAGCUGCCGGUACUUUUUCUCUUUUUUUUUUUUUUUUCCCUCUGUAAAGGAUAACAAAUUUCACAUUUUGGCUGGCCCAGAUUUUGCUUUUUGAUCCUUUUUCUCUUUAUUAUUUCUAUUUCUAAAAUUUACUAACUCAAUGAUUUAAUGCACAGCUUUUUAACUGAACAUGAUUCCUCAUUUUAUCUCAGUUUGAUUUGGAUUCUUGAAUUAUUUUACUAUAAUUGCGGCGGAAAGUUGGCUUUCUAUACGUUCUCUCAUGCAUGUGUGGCCUCCUCUACUGUAUUAGUUUGAAUUUUCAUUUUGGCUGAAAAUAUAAUAAGAGUUUUAAUUAAACACUUCAUUAAAUAGAAUUUUGAAGAACAAGCAACUAUGCUUAAUUAUCGCUAUCAGGGAAAAGUUUUUAGAAUUUUUUUCACUGAAUUUAAUUCAGAAAUGAAUCCUGAGUGUUAUAGUUGGACAGUUUAUUCGUACUGUUGAAGAAUAAACAACUAUUAGUUGUUUAAUGUGCCGUUAAAAUAGUUUACUUAUAAUAGUUAGGGAAGAGUCGGAGAAGAGUUUUUAGAGUUUUUUCCAUUGAAUUUUUAAUUCAGGUUUUGAAUCGUGAGUAUAAUUAUAAUUGGGACAGUUUAUUCAUAAAUUUGCAUGUAGUUUUUUGGUACUUAGGGUUCGAUUUAGAGUAAAGUGUCAGUUUAAAGUAAAAGUAAAGUGUAAAAAUCAACCACAUCUCUAGUAUGAUGAUGGGAAUAAUUUAAAAUUAACAGACAUAUAAUUUUGAUAGUAACAGGUUGGAUAAUUUUUCAUUAUUGAUCUCAAGGCGGUCAAUCAACAUUAAAUUCAGAGUUAAAAAAAAAAAAGAAUUAACCAUAUUCAGUCACAAUUAUCAAACAAAGGUAGGGUAGCGUAGCGUGGCCGUGGCGUGACGGUUUGUUUUUUUUUUUUUUAUUAUCAAAGAAAAGAUCAAAAGAAAAGAAUUCCUUUUUCGUAAUUGGGGAGAUUAGAUUAGGUCAGAAAGAAUUUUCUAAGGUCGAAAGAGAAAGCUCCAUCCUCC